UACGAAGGGGGCUAGCGUUGCUCGGAAUCACUGGGCGUAAAGCGCACGUAGGCGGACUCUUAAGUCGGUGGUGAAAUCCUGGAGCUCAACUCCAGAACUGCCUUCGAUACUGGGAGUCUCGAGUCCGGGAGAGGUGAGUGGAACUGCGAGUGUAGAGGUGAAAUUCGUAGAUAUUCGCAAGAACACCCGUGGCGAAAGCGGCUCUCUGGAACGGUACUGACGCUGAGACGCGAAAGCGUGGGGAGCGAACAGG
RNAcentral lists this ribosomal RNA (253 nucleotides) under uncultured bacterium. RNAcentral's name for it is "partial 16S ribosomal RNA". It matches the Rfam family "Bacterial small subunit ribosomal RNA", at positions 524 to 776 of the family's 1533-position model. The record is from RNAcentral.